UGUUUAAAGUAAACAUACUCCUUUGCACCUUCAACGCAACACUCUAAGAGCUUUUUAAAC
RNAcentral lists this transfer RNA (60 nucleotides) under Grandidierella osakaensis. RNAcentral describes it as "tRNA-Phe". Lineage: Eukaryota; Metazoa; Arthropoda; Malacostraca; Amphipoda; Corophiidae. The record is from RNAcentral.